GAUGAAGAACGUAGCGAAAUGCGAUACGUAAUGUGAAUUGCAGAAUUCAGUGAAUCAUCGAGUCUUUGAACGCACAUUGCGCCCCCUGGUAUUCCGGGGGGCAUGCCUGUCCGAGCGUCAUUGCUGCCCUCAAGCACGGCUUGUGUGUUGGGCCUCCGUCCUCCUCCCGGGGGACGGGCCCGAAAGGCAGCGGCGGCGCCGCGUCCGGUCCUCGAGCGUAUGGGGCUUCGUCACCCGCUCUUGUAGGCCCGGCCGGCGCUUGCCGACACAUCAAUCUUUUUUCCAGGUUGACCUCGGAUCAGGUAGGGAUACCCGCUGAACUUAAGCAUAUCAAUAAGCGGAGGA
This 345-nucleotide unclassified non-coding RNA is filed under the name soil metagenome. Its description in RNAcentral is "partial contains 5.8S ribosomal RNA, internal transcribed spacer 2, and large subunit ribosomal RNA". The stretch from base 1 to 120 matches the Rfam family "5.8S ribosomal RNA", at positions 35 to 154 of the family's 154-position model. The record is from RNAcentral.